CUCAUUUUCAUCUCACCAUUUUCUUUUCCGAUUUCCUUCUUGGAUUCUAAAUAUGUAACUAUUUUUGCGCAUUUGAAUCUAAUAUAUUUAUAUCUUUGUACUAAGCUGUUUCAAAUUUAUCCGUCUUCUACUUACUAUUUAUGUGGGUUUGUUUUGUUCUUGAUGAUGGGACUCUAAUUCGUAGAAAUGAAUAACUUUGUUAUAUGGGUAUCAGUUUAUUUCUGUUAGUGUUUCAGAUUCAGUUCGAAAUCAUUAGUCUACUAAUGUAAUGAUUAGCUUAGACUGAAAUUAGAAAUGUGGGAUAUGAAAUGGUUACUAUGAUUGUCCAACUGAUGAGCUUUUGCAGAGACUAAGAAAUUUAAUUUCAUCGAGCGCCGAGAUCGAAGUUGAUGAGUUGAUAAAGAAGCAACAUCCAAAUAGAUAUCUUCUUCUAUUAAAUUUUGUUUAGUUAUUUUUUGUUUUGUUUUUAUCUUGAUAUUAUAUUAGAAUUUCAGGAUUCUUGUA
Mercurialis annua (annual mercury) is the source of this 504-nucleotide long non-coding RNA. RefSeq lists it as uncharacterized. The transcript has 2 exons. The record is from RefSeq and is a predicted model, not a curated record. NCBI's taxonomy places the organism in Eukaryota, Viridiplantae, Streptophyta, Magnoliopsida, Malpighiales, Euphorbiaceae.